GCUUCCGUAGCUCAGUUGGUUAGAGCUUCGUACUAAUACUCGCCUUGAGGCGCUGCAUUGGUGAUGCGAAGGUCGCAGGUUCAAGCCCUGCCGGGAGCA
This is a non-coding RNA of Thelonectria olida, 99 nucleotides long. Lineage: Eukaryota; Fungi; Ascomycota; Sordariomycetes; Hypocreales; Nectriaceae. The record is from the annotation of a GenBank genome assembly.